AAAUUAAUAAAUUCGUCCUAAAGCGUGAUUAAAUUAAGUUAAAAUAAAUAGAAAUAAAAAUUAACUCGACUGUUAUACGUAUAUGUUAAACGGUGAAACCAAAAACGAAAGAUAUUCUAACAAAUAAAUUACUUGAACCCACGAAAGCUAAGAAACAAACUAGGAUUAGAUACCCUACUAUGCUCAGCCUUAAACUUUGGAACAACCUGCCUGAGUACUACGAGCCACAGCUUAAAACUCAAAGGACUUGGCGGUGCUCUACACCCCCCUAGAGGAGCCUGUUCUAUAAUUGAUACUCCCCGCUAAACCUCACCACUUAUUGCCAAUACCGCUUAUAUACCGCCGUCGUCAGCUCACCAUUUAAAUGAAAAAUAGUAGGCAUAAUGAUAAACAUAAAAACGUCAGGUCAAGGUGUAGCGAAUUAGGUGGAAAGAAAUGGGCUACAUUUUCUAAACUAGAAAAUACGAAAAAUUUUAGAAAACUAAUUUAAGGUGUGGUUUUGCCGGAAAAAGGAAAAUGGGUUUUUCUUUUUAAUUGGGGACACCCUUAAAGGGCAGCCUUAGAAGUAAGAAAAAGAAC
RNAcentral lists this ribosomal RNA (579 nucleotides) under Hynobius leechii (Gensan salamander). RNAcentral describes it as "partial 12S ribosomal RNA". It matches the Rfam family "Bacterial small subunit ribosomal RNA", at positions 580 to 1294 of the family's 1533-position model. Lineage: Eukaryota; Metazoa; Chordata; Amphibia; Caudata; Hynobiidae. The record is from RNAcentral.